This 429-nucleotide ribosomal RNA is filed under the name Pseudomonadota bacterium. RNAcentral's name for it is "Proteobacteria bacterium partial 16S ribosomal RNA". It matches the Rfam family "Bacterial small subunit ribosomal RNA", at positions 355 to 776 of the family's 1533-position model. Lineage: Bacteria; Pseudomonadati; Pseudomonadota. The record is from RNAcentral.
UGGGGAAUAUUGGACAAUGGGCGAAAGCCUGAUCCAGCCAUGCCGCGUGUGUGAAGAAGGUCUUCGGAUUGUAACGCACUUUAAGUUGGGAGGAAGGGCAGUAAGCGAAUACCUUGCUGUUUUGACGUUACCGACAGAAUAAGCACCGGCUAACUCUGUGCCAGCAGCCGCGGUAAUACAGAGGGUGCAAGCGUUAAUCGGAAUUACUGGGCGUAAAGCGCGCGUAGGUGGUUCGUUAAGUUGAAUGUGAAAGCCCCGGGCUCAACCUGGGAACUGCAUCCACAAGUGGCGAGCUAGAGUAGGGCAGAGGGUGGUGGAAUUUCCUGUGUAGCGGUGAAAUGCGUAGAUAUAGGAAGGAACACCAGUGGCGAAGGCGACCACCUGGGCUCAUACUGACACUGAGGUGCGAAAGCGUGGGGAGCAAACAGG